RNAcentral lists this ribosomal RNA (253 nucleotides) under uncultured bacterium. RNAcentral's name for it is "partial 16S ribosomal RNA". It matches the Rfam family "Bacterial small subunit ribosomal RNA", at positions 524 to 776 of the family's 1533-position model. The record is from RNAcentral.
UACGGGGGGGGCAAGCGUUGUUCGGAAUUACUGGGCGUAAAGGGCGCGUAGGUGGCCUUCUAAGUCAGACGUGAAAUCCCCAGGCUUAACCUGGGAACUGCAUCUGAUACUGGAGGGCUUGAGUUCGGGAGAGGGAUGUGGAAUUCCAGGUGUAGCGGUGAAAUGCGUAGAUAUCUGGAGGAACACCGGUGGCGAAGGCGGCAUCCUGGACCGAAACUGACACUGAGGCGCGAAAGCUAGGGGAGCAAACGGG